GGGGAUGUAGCUCAGUGGCAUAAGCACCUGCCUUGCAAGCAGGUGGUCGUGAGUUCGAUCCCCAGUACCG
RNAcentral lists this transfer RNA (70 nucleotides) under Cavia porcellus (domestic guinea pig). It matches the Rfam family "tRNA". Rfam says of the family: Transfer RNA (tRNA) molecules are approximately 80 nucleotides in length. Their secondary structure includes four short double-helical elements and three loops (D, anti-codon, and T loops). Lineage: Eukaryota; Metazoa; Chordata; Mammalia; Rodentia; Caviidae. The record is from Rfam by way of RNAcentral.